GCACGAGUGUCAAGAUUUUAUGCGUUACAGUAUGCUCAUGAUAUCUUCCCUGCGGUUUAUUUUGGGCGAGAUAAAAUCUGUAGCAAUUAGUUUCUCACAAGUCUAUUUUAUGCAGAAGAAUCUGUUAUUUCCUAGGCGUGUGAUUUCUUUGGUUUUACCUUUACCAUGAGUGUCUUCCUUCCCAGAUCUCUGCUCCCCCUUGGGGUUGGCAGUUGUCCUUCGCUUCUGCCUUCUGGGCUGUGCUCCGUCCCUUAAAUGCUGUUUGGGAAGACGUCAAGUGCAAAUGAGGAAGCUGCUGUAGGUUAGUGAGCCAUACCCAGGACCGAAAUAGAAAAGUGCUGGUACCAACAGGAAAUGAGAGAGUGUGUGUGCAAAGAUGAGGCUAUGGUUGGGAUUUUGUAUUUUAAUCUUGUCUGAAACGUGUGUAUUUCUGUCAUGGGAACCAGCAAAGGACGUAGAAACAGGUAGCGUAAGACCCCUUAAGAUAAAGGGAAGGAGUCCAUUGUUUGCAUAGAGCAGGUGUCUAUGGGCGGUCCACUUUCUCUCUUUGCGUUUCUUCGAAUUCUUCAUUUGUACUCCAUUCAACCACUUGUAAACCCUUGGUCAAACUGUUAAUUGAGACGUAAAUUCCAUUGUAGGUAUCCCUGCGAUCGAAGGAAAUAAAAAUUCUGUCUCUCUGGAAUUAGGAAGAGCAUGCAGAACGUUGAAAGGGUUUAAGAUGGACUAAGCAGUGGAGCAGCAGAAAUCAUGGAUCACAAGUGUCUCUGUAAUCAGGCUGCACCGAGACAUUUCUCGGCAUUUCUGAUGUUUCAACCCUACCCCACCUGCCAGGAGGAGGCUCCAGCCCGCCAGGAGGGCAGGAGGCCAUUGCUGCUGCCACUCCAGAACCUCAUAAGGGUUUAUUGUCUGCCCACAGUGUAUUUGUCAAGCUCUCCUACUAGCCGAUCAGCUCUUCUCCCAGGUGGACCUCCUGAUCCUCCGGAACCUCCUGGGUC
RNAcentral lists this long non-coding RNA (995 nucleotides) under Homo sapiens (human). Its description in RNAcentral is "HSALNT0355777". The record is from RNAcentral. Lineage: Eukaryota; Metazoa; Chordata; Mammalia; Primates; Hominidae.